RNAcentral lists this non-coding RNA (22 nucleotides) under Arabidopsis thaliana (thale cress). Lineage: Eukaryota; Viridiplantae; Streptophyta; Magnoliopsida; Brassicales; Brassicaceae. The record is from RNAcentral.
CCACCACGAAGGUGCAUAGUGA